This is an RNA transcript of Acanthochromis polyacanthus (spiny chromis), 3757 nucleotides long. RefSeq lists it as uncharacterized. The transcript has 6 exons. NCBI's taxonomy places the organism in Eukaryota, Metazoa, Chordata, Actinopteri, Pomacentridae. The record is from RefSeq and is a predicted model, not a curated record.
UCUUGUAAUGUUUUUCUCACAAAGAAAUCCCAACCUGGGAUGUCUGACUAAGCCGCCAUUUCAAAGCGCUAAGGAGCCCCAGAAGCUGUAGGAAAAUUUUGUACGUUUCAUUUUUAUUUUUCUAAUGCAUUUUAUUUUUAUUAGCUACUAGGGGGAGUAUAUUACUUUUUGAAUCUACCUCGACUGCACCACCAACUGAAAUGGAUGCAGAAACAGAAGAGAAGGUCACAGAAACUUCUAAAACUUCCAAGGAUGAAUCUGAGAAAUCUGUAACUGAACUCAAAUUCAGGGGUCGUGGUUUCAGAGGCCGUGGCCGAGGUGGGCGUUUGAACCGAGGUGGUAUGCGUGGUGGACGGGGCAUGAUGAAAAGUUUUGGUCCACCGGGACGUGGGAGGGGUCGAAUGAAGGACCCAGAUAUGAAUGGCUUUGGGCCAAUGAGAGGAAUGGGGAGGAUGCGACCUUACCCAGACCUUAGAGGUCACCGAGGUAGGGGUGGACCAAUGGGCAUGGGUCCUCCCCCUCCUCCCCCACCUCCUCACAUGCACCUCAGAGGACCCUUCCCACCCAUGCCCAGGCAUGGACCCCCUCCACCCCCUCCUCCAGGUCACCCUGGUUUCAGAGGGCGUCCACCACACCCUCGAGGUCGUGGCAUGCCACCCCCUGGACCUCCACGUCACUUCCACCCCCGUGGCCCAAGAGGCACUGUCAGUACAUUUUGCUGCCUCUUCAGCCUCUGCAGCCGCUGCUUGUUCCUCCCUGUGGUUGAUUGUAACAGAGUGACUGUUGUUGUCUCCUGAAGGGGGGCACACAGUACAGUUAACCUCCCGGGCCCCAGGAACCCAGGCCCUCCCUCACAUCUCUCCCCUCCUUCACCAGCGGCGUGAUGCCCGAGGUUCAGCACUUCACUUGCAAAGGUGAGCCUGUUGUGUGUUAAUCCUUGAACCCCUCCCUCUCUGACACCAGGAGAUUCUUUCUUUCAGGACGGACGUCGAAACAACCACAGGUGUGCCAGGAUUGUCAGGAAACGGACGAUUAAGGGUGACUCUGUACUGGGUUUUUUAAUCUUACAUUAUCAGAGAGCUUCUGCUCAAACAUCUCUGAUUCAUUUAAAGUUUUUUUGAGAUAAACUAUGGAAAAUAAAAUUGUAUAUGUGAAAAUUUAAAUUAAUAUAUCAUAUACAUUCUGGGGCUGCACAGUGGCGUAGUGGUUAGCACGUUUGCCUUGCAGCAAGAAGAUCCCCGGUUGAGAUCCUGGGGUGGGCCCGGGAUCUUUCUGCAUGGAGUUUGCAUGUUCUCCCUGUGCAUGCGUGGGUUUUCUCCGGGCACUCCGGCUUCCUCCCACAGUCCAAAAAUAUGCUGAGGUUAAUUGGUUACUCUAAAUUGCCCGUAGGUGUGAAUGUGAGUGUGAUUGUUUGUAUAUGUAGCCCUGUGACAGACUGGCGACCUGUCCAGGGUGUCCCCUGCCUUCGCCCGAGUCAGCUGGGAUAGGCUCCAGCACCCCCCGCGACCCUAAUGAGGAUAAAGCGGUGUAUAGAGGAUGGAUGGAUAUACAUUCUGCCGUUUUGCUUUUAUUGCCCUUCCACCCACUUUCAGGUCAUUUUUUUGCACAUCAAACUUUGAGGCUAAGUUUGGAUGUCAGAAUCUUAAUAGCUAUAGAAGAGAAAAGCCUAGUUAUUUUUUCAUGGUAUUGAUUCCAAAUAAGCAAUAUUGGACAAGUGGGUCAUUCCAGGUGAAAUGACCAGAUAUUCUUUGGGGGUGUUGCUGCACCAUUUUCAAAUUUUCACCAUUGUCAAAAGCUAAAGCCAUUCUGCAAAUUCUGGCUUACUUGGGCUCUUCCAGUUCCGUAGAAUGAUUGUGGCCCCGACCAUACAGACCGUUAAAAUCAAUCUAAGCUCCGCCUUAUACAGUCUUGAUGGAAGAAGAGACUUAUCUCAUAAUAGGCAUAGCUGUGUUGAUUCUGGUAGAGAUAAUUUAAGCCACUCCUCCCAAUUUUUUCAGUAGCAUCUUCCAGAAAGGAAGUACCCUUGAGCAGUCCAUAUAGCAUUAAAAAAAUGUCCCUUCUUCUUUAUUACAUUUCCGGCACUUUUGUCCUGGAUUAAUCCUACCUUAAACAAUUUCAGGAGUGUAAAAUAACAGCGAUGUACAAUUUUAUAGUGGACAAACUUCUUGCAUCUCUCGUAGCCCACCCCACAUUUGAAAUAACUCCUUUCCAUGUUUCCUGACUAAUCUCUUCACCAAGGUCUUUUUGCCAUAACAAUCUCAGACUUUUACACAAUCUUAACAUAAAUUCUUAAUAUAGGCGUUCAACGUCUUUUUCAGGCACUUUGGACGUCACACAUUCAGUGCAUUACACUAUUACUUAUUGGAAAAGAUGCUCAAAUGUAAACUCUUCAGCAAUUACUAUAAAUAUAAACUCACAUUCUAACAGUUAAUUUUGUCUUCAAAUCCAAGUUAUUUACUCAGUGGAACACCAAGAGAAUCCAUUUUGAUCCAAUCAAAGUUUCCACAAUGAUAAGAAUAACUUUCCCAUCAAAAUCUGGCUCACAUAAAUACUUCAGAUUACCAUUAUAUAUAUAUAUGUCAAUGUACAAAGAGGUGUGCUCGAAGAUGGGACUCUUCAUGAUGACUUAUACUGCAGAUUAUUCUAUGGCAGGAUGACAAAUACUAGUAAAAAUCUUGUGUGUUUAUCUUUAAUAAUUCCUGAGAUACUGUUAGUCCAACAGUUUUAAAUUUAAAGGUGGAAAAAAAUGUGCUGAAGUGGGUCGACGGGGAAACAAAGAUCAUUUCGAGAAGACACACGUCUUUAUGAAUAUCCAUAUUUUAUGUUAUAACAUUUUCAGGUACAGCAGAGAUGUUCCAGCAGAAACUGUUAUAAAAAUGUAAUAAUCUGGGAUGAAAUGAGAAACAAUGAAACCUCUUACAUUGUUUGCUAAUUGAAGGCGAGAAGGACAGAAGUAUAUAAAUAGCUUGAAAAUGAUGUAUUGGACAUCCAGUAGAGCUGCAUUAUUUUCAGGGCGUUGCUUUUGUACAUGUUGGUUCACUUUCUUACUGUCAUAUUUGAAUUAAACAGAGACAUUAUCAGAGGCAGACUUAUUAGUGACACUUCUGCUGGUAAGUUAAAAUAUCUGCUGUGAAAAAGGCCUGUUGCAGAGCCGAUCAUAGAGUUUUUUACCAACUUAAUUUCCACCUCUGCUCGUAAAUGUCAUCAUUACUACUGUCAGACUAGUUUUCUAACUAAAAUUAUGCUGUUUUUGAUUAAAGAGAUCUCAUAUUGAUGUAAGCAUGGAGCACAAAAGGAAGUCUGUGCAUUUUGGUGAACUGCUCAUAGCAAAUAAUCACGGUCAGUAGCAUCAGUAAUAGGUAUGGUGUAUACAGGAGAAAUCUGAACAAGCAUAUAAGCAAAGGGAUCACUGCAGUGGUAUGAAAUCUACUCUAAUAGUGUGACUAUGUUGUAUAGCUAAAAACGUUUGCAGUCACUCUGCAAGGUCUGCGCUGCUGUCUUUGUAAAAAUGAUACACUAAAUGUCUUUAAUAGAGUAAGAGUCCUCGGCAGUGCUUAAAUAGAGCAGUGAAAAAAAGUAUCUGAUGAUAAACACACCACUCUGACCAGAAAAUCUCCCUGAAAAUGAUCGUAAGUAUAAAGCACCAAUUGUCCAGAAUGUGUGAUGUUUUGUUUUCAAACUUUUUUUUUCUUACAUUUUGUAAUGUUUUUUUUUUUUUUUUUUGUAUGUCAAUUAUUUAAUAAAGACACAAAUUCAA